UACAGAGGUCUCAAGCGUUGUUCGGAUUCAUUGGGCGUAAAGGGUGCGUAGGUGGCAUGGUAAGUCGGAUGUGAAAUCCCGGGGCUUAACCCCGGAACUGCAUUCGAUACUGCUGAGCUAGAGUACUGGAGAGGAGAUUGGAAUUUACGGUGUAGCAGUGAAAUGCGUAGAUAUCGUAAGGAAGACCAGUGGCGAAGGCGGAUCUCUGGACAGUUACUGACGCUGAGGCACGAAGGCCAGGGGAGCAAACGGG
Molecule: ribosomal RNA, 253 nt
Filed under: uncultured bacterium
Lineage: Bacteria
Description: partial 16S ribosomal RNA
Rfam family: Bacterial small subunit ribosomal RNA
Source: RNAcentral